Molecule: ribosomal RNA, 497 nt
Filed under: uncultured bacterium
Lineage: Bacteria
Description: partial 16S ribosomal RNA
Rfam family: Bacterial small subunit ribosomal RNA
Source: RNAcentral
GACGAACGCUGGCGGCGUGCCUAAUACAUGCAAGUUGAGCGCUGAAGGGUGGUUCUUGUACCAACUGGAUGAGUAGCGAAUGUGUGAGUAACGCGUGGGGAAUCUCCCUUUGAGCGGGGGACAACAAUUGGAAACGAAUGCUAAUACCGCAUAAAAACUUUAAACACAAGUUUUAAGUUUGUAAGAUGCAAUAGCAUUACUCAAAGAAGAUCCCGCGUUGUUUUAGCUAGUUGGUGGGGUAAAGGCUCACCAAGGCGAUGGUAGAUAGCCGGCCUGAGAGGGUGAUCCGGCACAUUGGGACUGAGACACGGCCCAAACUCCUACUAGAGGCAGCAGUAGGGAAUCUUAGGCAAUGGACGAGAGUCUGACCGAGCCACGCCGCGUGAGGGAUGAAGGGUUUCGGGUCGUUAAAGUCGGUUGGUAGAGGAGAACGUUGGUGGGAGUGGAAAGCUCAUCUAGUGACGGUAUCUACCCAGUAAGAGACGGCUAACUACGUG